AAAAUAAAAUAAAAUAAAAUAAAAGGCUAAUCAUCGGCUACCAUGUCAGCCAGAAAAGUAGAAGCAAACAAAUGACAUGCCGUUUGGAGGACAUAUUCCCUACGUGGAUCUAUUAGAAAAAGAGGGCCCAUCUUGGAAAGUAUCAUCGUAAAGUUUUGUUAGUGAGACCGAGAUCCCCUCACCAGAAAAAUGAAAGAAUAGGUCCCAAGUCGAUGAUUCAUUCAAAGAUCUAGCAAGUGUGCCGGGGAGGAAGCUUGCCUUCUUUCUUAUUAUAGAAAGGGGAAAAAAAGACGAAUGUGCUUAUGAAUGAAAUGACAUAAGAGAACAAAUGUCCGUAGGCGAUCCAGUCACAAACUCCCUUUUCGAAAUAGGGGAGAGGGAGUAGCCGACACACCUUUUUUUUUUGGUCAUCGGAGGUUGGGAUACGGGUGGAACUCCACAAAUUUAAAAGGGAGUGACUGACUUUAGUUCCAACAAUUGGAAUUUCAUCGUGAUUGAUUUGGUUGGCUUGAACGCUACUCUAUCUAUGCCUAGUUCAGUUACAUACAAGGAUCUCAUCUGCUCUAGCAGCAGCUCAACGCUUCAGGAAAAAAGCAAGCUUAAGCGAAGAGCAUUGUCUAAUAUAAGCUAAUCACUAGCGAACACGUAAAACAAGAUUACCGAAGUUUGAAUGCCAAGCCCUUUUCCUAAGAAAGUGAAUUCCGAUCUAUGUUAAUCACGAAAGAAGCAAAUGCGGUGACCGGCUCUAUGAGCUAUACUAUAAAUACAUACAUACAUAGUUUUUCACUAGGGUUUUUUACCGAAUUGUUCACACGUCAGAAGAGUGGCUUUCUGGUGUUAUAUUAUUUCUAUCUUAUUAUUUCUUUUUUCUUGGGAUUAUUCUUUUCCUUCUCAAAUAUAUAUUUUCAAGGUUUAGAAUUGAAUGAUUAGAGUACCCACUCCGCGGUAAUAAAUAGGAAUUAUCUCGUUAACCCUAUCAUCAGUCAAAAUCUAUACCAAGGGAAAUGCUUUUAGUCUUUGAGUCACAGGAGGAUGCAACUAAUAAAAGAAAGAUU
This 1055-nucleotide unclassified non-coding RNA is filed under the name Hevea brasiliensis (rubber tree). Lineage: Eukaryota; Viridiplantae; Streptophyta; Magnoliopsida; Malpighiales; Euphorbiaceae. The record is from RNAcentral.